RNAcentral lists this small RNA (77 nucleotides) under Xanthomonas melonis. RNAcentral describes it as "sX9 sRNA". It matches the Rfam family "Xanthomonas sRNA sX9". The record is from RNAcentral. Lineage: Bacteria; Pseudomonadati; Pseudomonadota; Gammaproteobacteria; Lysobacterales; Lysobacteraceae.
AUGUACCAAACGUACACUCCGGGUUUCUCCGCGCCGUCCACACCCACCUGACGACUGCUCGCUACGCUCUGUCAGCC